AUACGGAGGGUCCAAGCGUUAUCCGGAAUCAUUGGGUUUAAAGGGUUCGCAGGCGGUUCAUUAAGUCAGUGGUGAAAUCUCUCGGCUCAACCGAGAAACUGCCAUUGAUACUGAUGGACUUGAAUAUAGUUGGAGUAGGCGGAAUGUGUAGUGUAGCGGUGAAAUGCUUAGAUAUUACACAGAACACCGAUAGCGAAGGCAGCUUACUAAACUAUUAUUGACGCUCAUGAACGAAAGCGUGGGGAGCGAACAGGAUUAGAAACCCUUGUAGUCC
Molecule: ribosomal RNA, 274 nt
Filed under: uncultured bacterium
Lineage: Bacteria
Description: partial 16S ribosomal RNA
Rfam family: Bacterial small subunit ribosomal RNA
Source: RNAcentral